AAUGAAAUAAUUGAGUCCAAAUUAUUAAGAAGAUAAAAAUCCAAGCAGCCAAUCGUGAAGAAACACGUGUCACUGCUUUAUCCACAACUCAUUCUCUCUCCGCGUAUUCCUGCACGCGAUGGGCCUUGUCGGCGCGUGCCUCACACGCGCCCAGCUUGGCAAAUGGAAAUGUGACGCGUGGCCCCUCCAGUGAGACUUUCAACAUGUUUAAACCUUUCAUCACCUCUUUCCUCUUCGCUCAUUUUCAAUAAGCCACUCCAAUAAUUUCAAUAGGUUGAAAAUAGCAUUCAAUAAGCCAUUGUAGAUGGUCUAAAAAAGUGGAGAUAGUAAUACUCAAUAUUUUCAUUACUCCAACAUUGAAUUACUAUUACCAUUCUUCUCUUCAUUUCUUCAGAGAAAAAUAACGAGAAAAAUCAUCUCUUUCUCUCUCACUUCACCGUCAUCUCAUUGAGUAUCAUGCUUCUCACCAUCUUUCCUCCCAUCGUCACGGCGUACAAAUUUACUUCUAAACCAACACUCAAUCUCAAUAUAAUAUUUGUUCUUGAUCUCAUUUAUUUCUUUCUUCCAUUGGAAUUGGGGUUUUAGAUCUGGUAGUUUCAUGGGUUUGUGAAUUUGUGGGUUUAAUGUUUUCCUGUGUAUUGUGAGCAUUUUGCAAUGAAUUUUCGUGGGUUUUCUGUUAUAGUAUUUUCUUGAUUUUCUUUUUAUUGGAAAAUGAACAACCGAUCGAACUCAUCCGCCAAAUCCGAUAAACCGCGUAAACCGAAACCGAAUAAACUGUUGACACAAACGGACGGGAUUGGGUGGCAUUUUCUCACCCACGGUUAACCGAUUUUUACGAUUUUUCGGACUGCCGCCGACCGAACCCGACCGUUGUCCAGCCCUACAUGGUGUUGCUUUUGUUUAGUUUUAGUUUUAUCUUAGGGCAAUUUCUAUAUUUGUUCUUCUACUUUGUUGUUGAUAUUUUCUUAAUUCUAACCGUGCACUUCUUAUGCGGGUUAAAAUCGGUGGUUAUUUAUAAAUUCCAUUAUGG
This 1030-nucleotide long non-coding RNA is filed under the name Medicago truncatula (barrel medic). Its description in RNAcentral is "long non-coding RNA (MTRU_LNC000396)". Lineage: Eukaryota; Viridiplantae; Streptophyta; Magnoliopsida; Fabales; Fabaceae. The record is from RNAcentral.